Molecule: ribosomal RNA, 274 nt
Filed under: uncultured bacterium
Lineage: Bacteria
Description: partial 16S ribosomal RNA
Rfam family: Bacterial small subunit ribosomal RNA
Source: RNAcentral
ACACGGGGGGCGCAAGCGUUAUUCGGAAUUAUUGGGCGUAAAGGGCGCGUAGGCGGUUUUGUCGGUCAGAUGUGAAAGCCCGGGGCUCAACCCCGGACGUGCAUUUGAAACAGCAAGACUCGAGUACGGGAGAGGAAAGCGGAAUUCCUGGUGUAGAGGUGAAAUUCGUAGAUAUCAGGAGGAACACCGAUGGCGAAGGCAGCUUUCUGGACCGAUACUGACGCUGAGGCGCGAAGGCGUGGGUAGCGAACAGGAUUAGAAACCCCGGUAGUCC